Molecule: ribosomal RNA, 739 nt
Filed under: Bacillus cereus
Lineage: Bacteria; Bacillati; Bacillota; Bacilli; Caryophanales; Bacillaceae
Description: bacterial SSU rRNA
Rfam family: Bacterial small subunit ribosomal RNA
Source: RNAcentral
GAGAGAGUAGCGAUUCAAUACAUGCAAGUCGAGCGAAUGGAUUAAGAGCUUGCUCUUAUGAAGUUAGCGGCCCCCGGGUGAGUAACACGUGGGUAACCUGCCCAUAAGACUGGGAUAACUCCGGGAAACCGGGGCUAAUACCGGAUAACAUUUUGAACCGCAUGGUUCGAAAUUGAAAGGCGGCUUCGGCUGUCACUUAUGGAUGGACCCGCGUCGCAUUAGCUAGUUGGUGAGGUAACGGCUCACCAAGGCAACGAUGCGUAGCCGACCUGAGAGGGUGAUCGGCCACACUGGGACUGAGACACGGCCCAGACUCCUACGGGAGGCAGCAGUAGGGAAUCUUCCGCAAUGGACGAAAGUCUGACGGAGCAACGCCGCGUGAGUGAUGAAGGCUUUCGGGUCGUAAAACUCUGUUGUUAGGGAAGAACAAGUGCUAGUUGAAUAAGCUGGCACCUUGACGGUACCUAACCAGAAAGCCACGGCUAACUACGUGCCAGCAGCCGCGGUAAUACGUAGGUGGCAAGCGUUAUCCGGAAUUAUUGGGCGUAAAGCGCGCGCAGGUGGUUUCUUAAGUCUGAUGUGAAAGCCCACGGCUCAACCGUGGAGGGUCAUUGGAAACUGGGAGACUUGAGUGCAGAAGAGGAAAGUGGAAUUCCAUGUGUAGCGGUGAAAUGCGUAGAGAUAUGGAGGAACACCAGUGGCGAAGGCGACUUUCUGGUCUGUAACUGACACUGAGGCG